AGUGAACUUGCAGUGAAGGUCCAAGCAGUGUUGACGGAGCUGCUGAGUCAGCUGCCGCGGCGGCAGCAGCAGCGGCAGCGGCGUUGCUACUUCCGCUACCAAAUGGCCGGCCUCUUUUCGGCGGCGGGGCGGCGGAUCCACCGGUUGAUCCGGUUAGCUUUGCUUGCUCUCUUUUCUGCAUUUUUCUCUUUGCUGUGUUGAUCUACUGAAAGUGGAGAAUUGGUCCGAAAAUGUUGGGUUUCGGAUCAUAGUAGAAUGGAUGGGCCUGAGUAUUUAAUUAGGCCCAAUGUACAGCCCAUUUAUGCAAUAUUGUGUAAUACACGAAGCAAGCAAUAGUGGAAAUACACAAAGCAGCUGAGUUAUUGUUCUUUGAUUAUUGUUUUCUAUGAUAGUAGAAGAAUGGUUCAUCCUUCCUUUAAGAAGACAGUAAACGCGAAGGUUUGGAUUGAAGAUCUUCACGAGACAGUCUGAGAUAUCGUAGAAUGUCGAAAAUAAUGGGGGCAUCAUGAACAUAAUUGUUUCCUCGAUUAUGGGUUGUGUCUCUCAUGUCCUUUUAAUUUUUUAUUUUAUUGACUUUCUUAUGUCAAUGUUGAAAUAUUUUUAUUGAGAUUUGGCCAAGGCCCUUCACAAUUUCUUA
Capsicum annuum is the source of this 637-nucleotide long non-coding RNA. RefSeq lists it as uncharacterized. The transcript is spliced from 2 exons. NCBI's taxonomy places the organism in Eukaryota, Viridiplantae, Streptophyta, Magnoliopsida, Solanales, Solanaceae. The record is from RefSeq and is a predicted model, not a curated record.